GCUUAACCGGAGAAGUGCAUCGGAAACUGGGAGACUUGAGUGCAGAAGAGGACAGUGGAACUCCAUGUGUAGCGGUGGAAUGCGUAGAUAUAUGGAAGAACACCAGUGGCGAAGGCGGCUGUCUAGUCUGUAACUGACGCUGAGGCUCGAAAGCAUGGGUAGCGAACAGGAUUAGAUACCCUGGUAGUCCAUGCCGUAAACGAUGAGUGCUAAGUGUUGGAGGGUUUCCGCCCUUCAGUGCUGCAGCUAACGCAUUAAGCACUCCGCCUGGGGAGUACGACCGCAAGGUUGAAACUCAAAGGAAUUGACGGGGGCCCGCACAAGCGGUGGAGCAUGCGGUUUAAUUCGAAGCUACGCGAAGAACCUUACCAGGUCUUGACAUCUUCUGCCAAUCUUAGAGAUAAGACGUUCCCUUCGGGGACAGAAUGACAGGUGGUGCAUGGUUGUCGUCAGCUCGUGUCGUGAGAUGUUGGGUUAAGUCCCGCAACGAGCGCAACCCUUAUUAUCAGUUGCCAGCAUUCAGUUGGGCACUCUGGUGAGACUGCCGGUGACAAACCGGAGGAAGGUGGGGAUGACGUCAAAUCAUCAUGCCCCUUAUGACCUGGGCUACACACGUGCUACAAUGGACGGUACAACG
This 637-nucleotide ribosomal RNA is filed under the name uncultured bacterium. RNAcentral's name for it is "bacterial SSU rRNA". It matches the Rfam family "Bacterial small subunit ribosomal RNA", at positions 607 to 1244 of the family's 1533-position model. The record is from RNAcentral.